RNAcentral lists this ribosomal RNA (468 nucleotides) under uncultured bacterium. RNAcentral's name for it is "partial 16S ribosomal RNA". It matches the Rfam family "Bacterial small subunit ribosomal RNA", at positions 34 to 507 of the family's 1533-position model. The record is from RNAcentral.
UCCGCCCGCUGGCGGCGUGCUUAACACAUGCAAGUCGAACGGAAAGGCCCUGCUUUUGUGGGGUGCUCGAGUGGCGAACGGGUGAGUAACACGUGAGUAACCUGCCCUUGACUUUGGGAUAACUUCAGGAAACUGGGGCUAAUACCGGAUAGGAGCUCCUGCUGCAUGGUGGGGGUUGGAAAGUUUCGGCGGUUGGGGAUGGACUCGCGGCUUAUCAGCUUGUUGGUGGGGUAGUGGCUUACCAAGGCUUUGACGGGUAGCCGGCCUGAGAGGGUGACCGGCCACAUUGGGACUGAGAUACGGCCCAGACUCCUACGGGAGGCAGCAGUGGGGAAUAUUGCACAAUGGGCGGAAGCCUGAUGUAGCAACGCCGCGUGCGGGAUGACGGCCUUCGGGUUGUAAACCGCUUUCGCCUGUGACGAAGCGUGAGUGACGGUAAUGGGUAAAGAAGCACCGGCUAACUACGUG